This is a long non-coding RNA of Setaria italica (foxtail millet), 782 nucleotides long. RefSeq lists it as uncharacterized. Lineage: Eukaryota; Viridiplantae; Streptophyta; Magnoliopsida; Poales; Poaceae. The transcript has 5 exons. The record is from RefSeq and is a predicted model, not a curated record.
CCGGCGGUUCUGGUCGCUGCAGUCCCCCGAGGAGGUCGGCCGGCUGGACGAGCCCGCGGGCAUCUUCGACGAGCUCCCGCCCCGGGACAAGAAGCGCGAUUUCUCCGAGUCGGCAACCUGGUACAUGCCAGACAUGAUGGUCCAGCUCCAGCUAUUCUUGCACUUGGUUGCUGCAUGAAAAACAUAACGGCAUUUUCUCUUUUGUGAAAUGGAAAGACAAUAGUAACUCAUCAAAAGCUAAAGAGACAUACUUGAACAAGCUUAUUGUUUGAACUCAUUUGAGGGUACUUGAGUGCAGUCCAGUCAAAUACAUAAUCGAAUUGGUAUCCUACAAUAUAGCUCAAUAAUGAGACCCAGUUUUAAAACAUGGUUCUUGGAAUGGACGAGAAUAACAAGCUGGCCACAUUAGUUACUCAGAAGAAAGAAGGGAGCGACAAUAGUGGAAAUAUGAGACGAACUCUGAUGGGUAAGAUUUGCACAAAACCUGGUUGAUACAAUUUUUUCAAAUGCAUGCAAGAGUUACCAUAACAGAAUUACAAGCUUCAUGUUGGCAAAAAUCAGUACCUCCGCUGAGCAGUUAAACAAGUCUUCCAAGCUUGGGCCAAGAAGAUCGAUCACCAUAACGUUGUACUCCCCCUCGACACCGUACCACUUCAGGUUCCUGACAGAUCAAACCGGAGAAAUUGUAAGAUUUUGAACUAAGCAUUUCAACUCCCAAGUUUAAAAGGGCAUAUUCAGAUUCCGGACAAGAGAAAUAUCAUAUUAAAUGCAAAGAUUAUAUA